UCCGCGUUCUUUUUAAACAUAAUAAAGUUUCAAAAAUAAAACGAUACGCAAAUAAUAUUUCGCAGUUCUUCGGUGGUUAUUACGACGUGCAUCCAACAGCAGAUCCUGCGGAAUUUGGUUAUCCGGUGAAGGUUUUGCCGAAGGCAGUAGGACACUGGAAGGAUGACCAAAGUGAAUACCGGAGAAGGAAACAUCAAAAUCGUUGACGAUUUACGAGCAACUAGUGUUGAUAUUGUAUCAGUUCUGAAAACUGGGGCUUAUUCCUUCGACCGACGAAUCCGGAGGGAAGCCGGAAGUGUGCAGCAAGAAGCGAAGAUGACUGUUACUACUGCACUGGCCUGAGGAGAUUCGUUAGUGUCAUUGUCAAGGCUUUGAACGAUUUCCCAGCCGACAUUGAUCCACCCGAUGUGUAAGCCAACAGUAUACUCACGGAAUCAGCAUUCAUUGCAAUAUGUAGCAGCCAAAACCUUGAAACGUACACUUCAUGUGUAUUUUCCGGGGGUAACGGUUCCGUUCUCGAUCACGCCGCAAUGGCAGAAGUUCGGCAAGCAUACUGUUGGCGGUUGAAUUGCCAUACUAAAACAGUUGCAAUUCAAAACCGGUUGGUGCCACUAGAUCCCCUCGGAAAGAGCCGGAAAAACGCCGAGAAGGAACGGCAUAACGAAAACCGGCAAAUGACGCGAUGCAAAGGCUAUUUCAUGUUAGAUAUUUUGUGGAACACCGAACUAGCUUCUUCCUUCAAGCACCACUUAAAGUGGUAAAGCCACUGAGACGGAAAUAGCGGGAAGUAUGUCGACCAGUAAUCCUUCACACCAGCUGUUCUCAUCCGGAUGCGGCUGCUGAAGAUACGGUUCCCGGUUGUGAAUGCUGCUCCGUCAAAAACGGUCGAUGCUUGAUUAAGCGUAUAU
Long non-coding RNA from Armigeres subalbatus, 908 nucleotides. RefSeq lists it as uncharacterized. The record is from RefSeq and is a predicted model, not a curated record. NCBI's taxonomy places the organism in Eukaryota, Metazoa, Arthropoda, Insecta, Diptera, Culicidae. The transcript is spliced from 3 exons.